GAUCCUGGCUCAGGAUGAACGCUGGCGGCGUGCCUAACACAUGCAAGUCGAACGAAGCACCUUUUAAGAUUCUUCGGAUGAUUGAUUGGUGACUGAGUGGCGGACGGGUGAGUAACGCGUGGGUAACCUGCCCUGUACAGGGGGAUAACAGUUGGAAACGGCUGCUAAUACCGCAUAAGCGCACGAGAGGACAUCCUCUUGUGUGAAAAACUUCGGUGGUACAGGAUGGGCCCGCGUCUGAUUAG
Molecule: ribosomal RNA, 245 nt
Filed under: uncultured bacterium
Lineage: Bacteria
Description: partial 16S ribosomal RNA
Rfam family: Bacterial small subunit ribosomal RNA
Source: RNAcentral